UUAAUCCAGCACUCUCCUUUUGGACUCUUCCUGCAGUAAUCACACUGAGGUAUCCUAAUAGUAUGACCAGGACAGUCUAUUUUGGCUAUUGGAGCAGAUGGCUGUCUAUACGCUUCUGCUCUCAGCACCAAUCUGAAGUGUAGUGGAUCUCCCUUGACAUCUGAAAUCUUUAGCUCGUUUAGAAGGUGGCUAUGAGCUAGAACCAAUCGAC
Molecule: long non-coding RNA, 211 nt
Filed under: Gossypium barbadense (sea-island cotton)
Lineage: Eukaryota; Viridiplantae; Streptophyta; Magnoliopsida; Malvales; Malvaceae
Description: long non-coding RNA (GBAR_LNC019028)
Source: RNAcentral